RNAcentral lists this ribosomal RNA (464 nucleotides) under uncultured bacterium. RNAcentral describes it as "bacterial SSU rRNA". It matches the Rfam family "Bacterial small subunit ribosomal RNA", at positions 917 to 1382 of the family's 1533-position model. The record is from RNAcentral.
GGGCCCGCACAAGCGGUGGAGCAUGUGGUUUAAUUCGAUGCAACGCGAAGAACCUUACCUGGGCUUAAACUGCAGCGGAAAUCCGGUGAAAGCCGGCCCUCCUUCGGGAUCGCUGUAGAGGUGCUGCAUGGCUGUCGUCAGCUCGUGUCGUGAGAUGUUGGGUUAAGUCCCGCAACGAGCGCAACCCUUGUCCUUAGUUGCCAUCAGGUAAUGCUGGGCACUCUAGGGAGACUGCCUCGGAAGACGAGGAGGAAGGUGGGGAUGACGUCAAGUCCUCAUGGCCCUUACGUCCAGGGCUACACACGUGCUACAAUGGCCGGUACAGAGGGAUGCAAGACCGCGAGGUGGAGCCAAUCCCCAAAACCGGUCUCAGUUCGGAUUGGAGUCUGCAACUCGACUCCAUGAAGUUGGAAUCGCUAGUAAUCGCGAAUCAGCAGGUCGCGGUGAAUACGUUCCCGGGCCUU